RNAcentral lists this long non-coding RNA (469 nucleotides) under Eucalyptus grandis. RNAcentral's name for it is "long non-coding RNA (EGRA_LNC007653)". The record is from RNAcentral. Lineage: Eukaryota; Viridiplantae; Streptophyta; Magnoliopsida; Myrtales; Myrtaceae.
CUUCUCUCACUCGAGAUUCGCCGCUUCUUCACUCAAAGCUUUUGAAUUUGCUAGUCGAUUGAUUCUCCAAUGACGAACCAUCAUGGACUCGCGCACCUUUUGGCAUUGUUUGUCCUCGCUCUGUCUUUGACGAUUGGUGAGAACCCAGUCAGAGCCCGCCAACUUUGGAGGCGACCUUGCCCGAAGUGCCCGAACUACCGAAGCCUGAAUUGCCUCACCUUCCUGACAUCCCUAGCUUGCCAAAGCCAGAAUUCCCAUCAUUGCCGAAAGUCAAAUUGCCGCCGCUUCCUGAACUAGCAAAGCCUGAAUUUCCAGCAACACCGAAGCCGGAGUCCUUAGAAGUGCCGGAAUUGCCGAAGCCCGAAUUACCUCAACUUCCUGACAUCCCUAGCUUGCCAAAGACAGAAUUCCCAUCACUGCCGAAAGUCGAAUUGCCGCCGCUUCCUGAGCUACCAAAGCCCGAAAUUCC